This 1599-nucleotide long non-coding RNA is filed under the name Brassica rapa (field mustard). RNAcentral's name for it is "long non-coding RNA (BRAP_LNC005665)". The record is from RNAcentral. Lineage: Eukaryota; Viridiplantae; Streptophyta; Magnoliopsida; Brassicales; Brassicaceae.
UAUCGAUAAUUUCAUGUACCUCUAGAGUCCUUCCGUUUUCGUCUUUAUCAUCAUUAGAUAAUCCAGCAUGUCCCUUCAAUGGAUUUCAUAAAGUAGCCAAUCGCAGAUCUAAGACUUUGGGAGCAUCUUCAAGAAUCUGCUGAAAAAAUUAUGUUUUUUUGGAGUUUCAGAAAGAAUCACCAAUGUUUAUUGCAUUCUACUUGAUGCUAGAAAGAUUGAAAUUUAAUGGAACAUGUAAUGAAAGUAGAGAAUAUAAAUGAACAUUACUACAUGAGGAAACAAAUUUAUGAUUCUAAGCUAAAUCAAUAUGACCAAAAAAAUGCUAGUCUUCAAGAGAAGAAUAGAUGAAAGCAAUCAGAUGAUGUCGCCAUAUGCAACAAAAAUAGGACCUGACCACAUCUUAAAUCAAAUCGAGCAAAGAUUUACAUUACCUCAACCGUAACCAGGAAGGCUGGAAGAAAAGUGUUCCCAAACUCAAUCUGUUGUUGAUCUCGUCAUCAACUUUUCUUCUUAUCUUUCUACCGACAGUAUGAUGAAUUUCCUUCUCAAGUGAAGCUUUUUGCUUGCUCCUCUCUUGAAAUUAUUAUCAUACAACUGCGCAUCCACGAUCUGUCUGUUUUACUCUUUUAUUUCUUAAACAACACACAUCGUUAGACAAACUCUCCUACAAAAUACUAAUAAUAAUAAUAAUGUCAAAGCUCUCGUCUUUAAACGUUCUAUAGGCUAAUAGGAUUCAAAGGCAAGACCUUUUCUCAGUUCCAUUAACUGUAAACACACUAACAGAAAAAUCCCAGAAAAAAUAUAUUGAAUUCAGACAGUACCUGUUUUUAAGAUGUAGGACCCUCGAGUGUAGUUGUCACGGUGUCGACAGAACUGGGAAAAAUCCAAUGCUAGAAAGAUCAAGACACAAGGAUAGAUGAGAGAGAAGCAAAUCGGAAAAGUCUAGUAAGAACGUACACGUUACUGUGUCUCCUUCUCCAAGCUUCUAAAACGACGACGGAGAAGACGAUCAGCACCAGCGUGAGGCCGAGUUCUACGACUGUAAAUCGGAAACAGAGAGACUGAGUGGUGAGAGAUUGAGUGGUGAAGUAUAAUAAUAAACUAAUACCUGACUUUCAAAUGUAGAGAACAACAAAUUGUCAUUGUGUUAUGAAUCUGGAGUCGAGGGUUCAUAUUUUAGAUAACUCAGGCUGGAAUGACAAUAGUUAACGGACCUGUCUUAUCAUAUCAUCAAGGGGUUUAUAUAACAGGAAAAACAAAGGAAGGUGGAACGAUAAUCUCUAAUGAAGAUAGGAGAAAAUAUCAGAAUUGAAUGAGCAAGAUUGGGGUGUAAUAAUUACAGAGAGAUUGCAGAGAUUAGAAUAGUGAAUUGGAAGAGUCGGAGUUGAAGGCGACGAACAUUCUGCGUAGAAUAAGAUAUGGGCUGUUCUAUAUAGGCCUAUUUUUUUUUUGUUCAGCCCAGAUUUACUGGACCUUUUAAAUUUUUUGUCGACAAAAUAAAAGUGACGUGGCAAAACAGAGCUUCAUGAUUGGCCUGAAUAAAAAAUCCUACGUGGCACGCUCGUUGCUCUUCUUAUUCGGCUUUUAGUAGUGUUAGAU